RNAcentral lists this ribosomal RNA (1281 nucleotides) under Agapanthia amurensis. Its description in RNAcentral is "16S ribosomal RNA". The stretch from base 1039 to 1197 matches the Rfam family "Archaeal large subunit ribosomal RNA", at positions 2542 to 2701 of the family's 2987-position model. Lineage: Eukaryota; Metazoa; Arthropoda; Insecta; Coleoptera; Cerambycidae. The record is from RNAcentral.
UUUAAAGAGAUUAUUAAUUUUUUAAGGUAGAGCCAGUAUUAAUAAAAAUAAUUUAUCAUUUAGUAUAAUAUUUAGAAUAAUUAAUAUUAAUUAUAGAGAAUUAGUAUUGUGAGAGAGAUUUUAAAAAGUUUAAAAGAAAAAUUUGUUUUGUACCUUGUGUAUCAGGGUUUAUUAAAUAAUAAAAGGAUUUUAUUUUCUCGAAUUUAAAAGAGCUAAUAUAAUAUAAAUUUUAUUGUGAAAUAAAUAUUUAAAAUUUUAUAUUAGAAAUGAAACGUUAGACGUUUUUAAUAUAUCUAGUUAUUUAAGAAAAAAAUUUAAUUUUUUUAUUAUUAAUAUUGAUUUUUGUAGAUAAUUGAUUAUUAAUAAUAGAUUAUUUUUAAGGGGAUAAGCUUUUAAAAAGAUUAGUUAAAAAUUUGAAUAAUAUAAAAAAGUUAUAGGAUUAGUAGUGUUCAUUUUUAAAAUAAUGUUAUAAUUAAUUAUAUAAAAAUUUAAAUUUAUAUUAAUUUUAACUUGUUUAUUAAAUUUAAAAAAAUAAUAAAAAAUUUUUAGUAAUAAUGAUAAAAUUAGUAAUAAGUUUAUUGUAGUAAUAUAUUAUUGAUUAAGGUUAAUUAAAGGAAUUCGGCAAAUAUAUUUUUUACCUGUUUAUUAAAAACAUGGCCUUUUGAAAAUAAUUUAAGGUCUGGCCUGCCCACUGAGACAUUGAAGGGCCGCGGUAUUUUGACCGUGCUAAGGUAGCAUAAUCAUUAGUUUUUUAAUUGAAAGCUUGUAUGAAUGGUCGGAUAAAAAAAUUACUGUCUCUAAUUAAUUUUAUUGAAUUUUAUUUUUAAGUAAAAAAGCUUAAAUAGUUUUAAAAGACGAGAAGACCCUAUAGAGUUUUAUAAAUUAUUUAUUUUUAAUAUUUUAGGAAUAUUAUUUUAAAUAUAAAUAUUUAUUUAAUUGGGGUGAUUAAAAAAUAUAAUAAACUUUUUUUGAAUAGUUACAUUAAUUUAUGAAAGAUUGAUCCAAAUUUUUUUGAUUAUAAGAUUAAAUUACCUUAGGGAUAACAGCGUAAUUUUUAUAGAGAGUUCAAAUCGAAAUAAAAGAUUGCGACCUCGAUGUUGGAUUAAAAUUAAUUUUUGGUGUAGAAGCUAAUAGUUUAGGUCUGUUCGACCUUUAAAAUUUUACAUGAUCUGAGUUUAAACCGGUGUGAGCCAGGUUGGUUUCUAUCUUUAAAUAAAAUUUAUAUUUUAGUACGAAAGGAACAAAUAUAAGAUAAAUUAUUGUAAUUUAUAGAAUUUUAUU